CAAAAGGCACAUUAAAUGCCUUUGCCCAAUUGCACAAAAUAUAUGCCUAUAUAAAACCCUAUCCCUCUUCUCUUCUCAUUUCACUUCCAUUCUUCUAUACAAAAAAAAUAAUAACAUGAAGAUUUUCACAUUAUUUCUCAUUUUCAUCCUCCUCAUACAGGUUUUAUCCAAUGCUGCUGCUGAACAGAUAGAGGCAGGCAAUGAAGGAGCUCUUCACAAAAAAAUUCACCCAAUUAAGAGGAUACACUGCGGAUACGCAUGUGCGAGGAGAUGCAAGAAGUCGUCAAGAAAGAAGGUGUGCAUGAGGGCAUGCAAGACAUGUUGUGCAAGAUGCAAGUGUGUUCCACCAGGCACUUAUGGAAACAAGGAAGUUUGCCCUUGUUAUGCUAGGCUUAAGACUCAUGGCAACAAGCCUAAGUGCCCUUAAUUAAUUAAUAAUUUUUUAAAUUAAGAAAAAACAAUGCAUAUUAUUUAUUAAAUAAAUGCUUAGAUUUUAAUUAA
This is an RNA transcript of Solanum stenotomum, 501 nucleotides long. It is a transcript of the gene named snakin-2-like, with no coding region annotated. The transcript is spliced from 4 exons. NCBI's taxonomy places the organism in Eukaryota, Viridiplantae, Streptophyta, Magnoliopsida, Solanales, Solanaceae. The record is from RefSeq and is a predicted model, not a curated record.